GCGGGGUGGAGCAGUCUGGUAGCUCGUCGGGCUCAUAACCCGAAGGUCACAGGUUCAAAUCCUGUCUCC
RNAcentral lists this transfer RNA (69 nucleotides) under Burkholderiales bacterium. Its description in RNAcentral is "tRNA-Met". It matches the Rfam family "tRNA". From Rfam's summary of the family: Transfer RNA (tRNA) molecules are approximately 80 nucleotides in length. Their secondary structure includes four short double-helical elements and three loops (D, anti-codon, and T loops). Lineage: Bacteria; Pseudomonadati; Pseudomonadota; Betaproteobacteria; Burkholderiales. The record is from RNAcentral.